Molecule: microRNA, 23 nt
Filed under: Lottia gigantea (owl limpet)
Lineage: Eukaryota; Metazoa; Mollusca; Gastropoda; Lottiidae
Description: Lgi-Mir-12588_3p* (star (passenger))
Source: RNAcentral
GUAAAUGCAUCCUCUAUUACCAC